CCGAAACGAAGUGAUCUAUCCAUGAGCAAGUUGAAGCUAGUGUAAGAACUAGUGGAGGACUGAACCCAUAGGCGUUGAAAAGCCCCGGGAUGACUUGUGGAUAGGGGUGAAAGGCCAAUCAAACUUCGUGAUAGCUGGUUCUCUCCGAAAUAUAUUUAGGUAUAGCGUUGUGUCGUAAUAUAAGGGGGUAGAGCACUGAAUGGGCUAGGGCAUACACCAAUGUACCAAACCCUAUCAAACUCCGAAUACCUUAUAUGUAAUCACAGCAGUCAGGCGGCGAGUGAUAAAAUCCGUCGUCAAGAGGGAAACAACCCAGACUACCAGCUAAGGUCCCUAAAUCUUACUUAAGUGGAAAACGAUGUGAAGUUACUUAAACAACCAGGAGGUUGGCUUAGAAGCAGCCAUCCUUUAAAGAAAGCGUAAUAGCUCACUGGUCUAGUGAUUUUGCGCGGAAAAUAUAACGGGGCUAAAGUAAGUACCGAAGCUGUAGACUUGACUUUGUCAAGUGGUAGGAGAGCGUUCUAUUUGCGUCGAAGGUAUACCGGUAAGGAGUGCUGGAGCGAAUAGAAGUGAGCAUGCAGGCAUGAGUAGCGAUAAUUAAUGUGAGAAUCAUUAACGCCGUAAACCCAAGGUUUCCUACGCGAUGCUCGUCAUCGUAGGGUUAGUCGGGUCCUAAGUCGAGUCCGAAAGGGGUAGACGAUGGCAAAUUGGUUAAUAUUCCAAUACCAACAUUAGUGUGCGAUGGAAGGACGCUUAGGGCUAAGGGGGCUAGCGGAUGGAAGUGCUAGUCUAAGGUCGUAGGUGCUUAUACAGGCAAAUCCGUAUAAGAAUACACCGAGAACUGAAAGGCUUUUUGAAGUCUUCGGAUGGAUAGAAGAACCCCUGAUGCCGUCGAGCCAAGAAAAGUUUCUAAGUUUAGCUAAUGUUGCCCGUACCGUAAACCGACACAGGUGGGUGGGAUGAGUAUUCUAAGGCGCGUGGAAGAACUCUCUUUAAGGAACUCUGCAAAAUAGCACCGUAUCUUCGGUAUAAGGUGUGGUUCGCUUCGUAUUAGGAUUUACUCCGAAAGCGAAGAAACUUACAACAAAGAGUCCCUCCCGACUGUUUACCAAAAACACAGCACUCUGCUAACUCGUAAGAGGAUGUAUAGGGUGUGACGCCUGCCCGGUGCUCGAAGGUUAAUUGAUGGGGUUAGCAUUAGCGAAGCUCUUGAUCGAAGCCCGAGUAAACGGCGGCCGUAACUAUAACGGUCCUAAGGUAGCGAAAUUCCUUGUCGGUUAAAUACCGACCUGCAUGAAUGGCGUAACGAGAUGGGAGCUGUCUCAAAGAGGGAUCCAGUGAAAUUGUAGUGGAGGUGAAAAUUCCUCCUACCCGCGGCAAGACGGAAAGACCCCGUGGACCUUUACUACAGCUUGACACUGCUAUUUGGAUAAGAAUGUGCAGGAUAGGUGGGAGGCUUUGAGUAUAUGACGCUAGUUGUAUAUGAGCCAUUGUUGAGAUACCACUCUUUCUUAUUUGGGUAGCUAACCAGCUUGAGUUAUCCUCAAGUGGGACAAUGUCUGGUGGGUAGUUUGACUGGGGCGGUCGCCUCCCAAAUAAUAACGGAGGCUUACAAAGGUUGGCUCAGAACGGUUGGAAAUCGUUCGUAGAGUAUAAAGGUAUAAGCCAGCUUAACUGCAAGACAUACAAGUCAAGCAGAGACGAAAGUCGGUCUUAGUGAUCCGGUGGUUCUGUGUGGAAGGGCCAUCGCUCAAAGGAUAAAAGGUACCCCGGGGAUAACAGGCUGAUCUCCCCCAAGAGCUCACAUCGACGGGGAGGUUUGGCACCUCGAUGUCGGCUCAUCGCAUCCUGGGGCUGGAGCAGGUCCCAAGGGUAUGGCUGUUCGCCAUUUAAAGCGGUACGCGAGCUGGGUUCAGAACGUCGUGAGACAGUUCGGUCCCUAUCUGCCGUGGGCGUAAGAAGAUUGAAGAGAUUUGACCCUAGUACGAGAGGACCGGGUUGAACAAACCACUGGUGUAGCUGUUGUUCUGCCAAGAGCAUCGCAGCGUAGCUAAGUUUGGAAAGGAUAAACGCUGAAAGCAUCUAAGCGUGAAGCCAACUCUAAGAUGAAUCUUCUCUAAGCUCUCUAGAAGACUACUAGUUUGAUAGGCUGGGUGUGUAAUGGAUGAAAGUCCUUUAGCUGACCAGUACUAAUAGAGCGUUUGGCUUAUCUUUAAUAAAGCAU
This 2224-nucleotide ribosomal RNA is filed under the name Campylobacter coli. Its description in RNAcentral is "partial 23S ribosomal RNA". It matches the Rfam family "Bacterial large subunit ribosomal RNA", at positions 715 to 2925 of the family's 2925-position model. Lineage: Bacteria; Pseudomonadati; Campylobacterota; Epsilonproteobacteria; Campylobacterales; Campylobacteraceae. The record is from RNAcentral.